UCCUAUGCCUGUGCCCAAGUGGGGAAUCUGGAACCAGUAAGCCCGUUCGUGCAUAAAUGUAAUCCUCGGCCGCAGAAUAAACCAGCUCGGAGCCUGCAGCUGGGUUCAUCAAGGUUUGCGCAGUGGAUCCGCGAAUGAAGCCAGCCUGGAAGAUCCCCAGUCUCGAGACAGAGCCUGACAGGGGCAGAUGCACUGGAAGGACCCUGUCUGGGUUUAGCAACCAAGCAGCCAUCCUGGCCCCACAGGUGUGGGACUUCUGGGUCUUCUCCUGGCUGGCUUCUUGCUAGAGGAUUUCAAGAGACCCAGCAAGACUGUAUUGUCCCACUGAAUGCUCAAGAUAUUGGUUAGAAGUAGAAAAGGGGAGGGGGUAGUAUUUAGCCUCUGUCCCCACUAAAAAUUAUUCCCAAUUGUCAUUUGUGUCAUCUGUUUAGCUUACAGUUUUAAUCCUUGUCAAAAUGAUCAUUUGCCAGGGUGCAUAAAACACCCUAUUUGAUGAGAACUGGUUUUAAAGGAAAAUGGGGCCAUCAGAAGGAAGCCGGUUGGUGUGAAGAGACGUCUGGGAAGAGCCCCUGGCGAGGGCCCUCAUUCCACUGGGUGACCCAGAAGGAGAAAACCGCGAUGGCGCUUCUCAUUUGAAAUGUUUUCUUUAUGGACAGUGUUUAGCAAUUGUUAUAAUGUGUACUUUUGUUGAUUGAUCUGUAUACAUAUGUAAAAUAAUUUGUUCUCUGAGUUAAUUUUGUUGGAACAAAGACUUUAGUGCUUCCUACAUUAAAACAUUUUACUGUAUUGCCUGCAUUUUAAGAGCCUUUUUUUAAUUUUUAAUUUUUUUGGUCCUUGUGAUAUGACGAGGUAUAAAUUCUGGGUUUUGUCCAGGGUUCCUGGCUUAGCACUCUCGUCG
RNAcentral lists this long non-coding RNA (898 nucleotides) under Homo sapiens (human). RNAcentral's name for it is "HSALNT0130873". Lineage: Eukaryota; Metazoa; Chordata; Mammalia; Primates; Hominidae. The record is from RNAcentral.